GUAAGGAAUAUUGGUCAAUGGACGAAAGUCUGAACCAGCCAUGCCGCGUGAAGGAUGAAGGCCCUCUGGGUUGUAAACUUCUUUUAUCUGGGACGAAAAAAGGGUAUUCUUACUCACUUGACGGUACCAGAGGAAUAAGCACCGGCUAACUCCGUGCCAGCAGCCGCGGUAAUACGGAGGGUGCAAGCGUUAUCCGGAUUCACUGGGUUUAAAGGGUGCGUAGGUGGGUAUUUAAGUCAGUGGUGAAAGCUCCGAGCUUAACUCGGAAACUGCCAUUGAUACUAGUUACCUUGAAUGCCCUGGAGGUAAGCGGAAUAUGUCAUGUAGCGGUGAAAUGCUUAGAUAUGACAUAGAACACCAAUUGCGAAGGCAGCUUACUACGGGGUGAUUGACACUGAGGCACGAAAGCGUGGGGAGCAAACAGGAUUAGAAACCCGUGUAGUCC
Molecule: ribosomal RNA, 445 nt
Filed under: uncultured bacterium
Lineage: Bacteria
Description: bacterial SSU rRNA
Rfam family: Bacterial small subunit ribosomal RNA
Source: RNAcentral